CCUACGGGGGGCAGCAGUGAGGAAUAUUGGUCAAUGGCCGUAAGGCUGAACCAGCCAAGUCGCGUGAAGGAAGAAGGUUCUAUGGUUUGUAAACUUCUUUUAUAGGGGAAUAAAGGUAUCCACGUGUGGAUAUUUGCAUGUACCCUAUGAAUAAGCAUCGGCUAACUCCGUGCCAGCAGCCGCGGGAAUACGGAGGAUGCGAGCGUUAUCCGGAUUUAUUGGGUUGAAGGGGUGCGUAGGCUGUUUUUUAAGUCAGCGGUGAAAGUUUGUGGCUCAACCAUAAAAUUGCCGUUGAAACUGGCAGACUUGAGUGUGUGAGAGGUAGGCGGAAUGCGUGGUGUAGCGGUGAAAUGCAUAGAUAUCACGCAGAACUCCGAUUGCGAAGGCAGCUUGCUGAGCCAUAACUGACGCUGAAGCACGAAAGCGUGGGGAUCAAACAGGAUUAGAUACCCCUGUAGUC
RNAcentral lists this ribosomal RNA (460 nucleotides) under uncultured bacterium. RNAcentral describes it as "partial 16S ribosomal RNA". It matches the Rfam family "Bacterial small subunit ribosomal RNA", at positions 338 to 795 of the family's 1533-position model. The record is from RNAcentral.